UUUCCGUAGGUGAACCUGCGGAAGGAUCAUUUAUGAGCGAAGGGGGGUGCUCCCACCCCCCCAAGCGUAUCCAAACACUGUGAACCUUAAUGGGCUUUUUGGCCCUUACAAACUCUGUGUAAUGAACGUCAUACGAUAACAAAUAAAACUUUCAACAACGGAUCUCUUGGCUCUU
RNAcentral lists this unclassified non-coding RNA (175 nucleotides) under plant metagenome. RNAcentral describes it as "partial contains small subunit ribosomal RNA, internal transcribed spacer 1, and 5.8S ribosomal RNA". The record is from RNAcentral.